CACACCGCCCGUCACACCAUGGGAGUUGAUUGCACCAGAAGUGGGUAGCCUAACCGCAAGGAGGGCGCUUACCACGGUGUGGUCAAUGACUGGGGUG
This 97-nucleotide ribosomal RNA is filed under the name uncultured bacterium. Its description in RNAcentral is "partial 16S ribosomal RNA". It matches the Rfam family "Bacterial small subunit ribosomal RNA", at positions 1386 to 1482 of the family's 1533-position model. The record is from RNAcentral.